Molecule: ribosomal RNA, 432 nt
Filed under: uncultured bacterium
Lineage: Bacteria
Description: bacterial SSU rRNA
Rfam family: Bacterial small subunit ribosomal RNA
Source: RNAcentral
CCUACGGGGGGCAGCAGUGAGGAAUAUUGGUCAAUGGGCGAGAGCCUGAACCAGCCAAGUCGCGUGAAGGAUGACGGCCCUACGGGUUGUAAACUUCUUUUGUCAGGGAGCAAUUGAGUCCACGUGUGGGCUUAGCGAGAGUACCUGAAGAAAAAGCAUCGGCUAACUCCGUGCCAGCAGCCGCGGUAAUACGGAGGAUGCGAGCGUUAUCCGGAUUUAUUGGGUUUAAAGGGUGCGUAGGCGGAAUAUCAAGUCAGCGGUAAAAAUUCGGGGCUCAACCCCGUCGUGCCGUUGAAACUGAUGUUCUUGAGUGGGCGAGAAGUAUGCGGAAUGCGUGGUGUAGCGGUGAAAUGCAUAGAUAUCACGCAGAACUCCGAUUGCGAAGGCAGCAUACCGGCGCCCAACUGACGCUGAAGCACGAAAGCGUGGGUA